RNAcentral lists this microRNA precursor (93 nucleotides) under Pteropus vampyrus (large flying fox). RNAcentral's name for it is "miRNA (ENSPVAG00000030123.1)". Lineage: Eukaryota; Metazoa; Chordata; Mammalia; Chiroptera; Pteropodidae. The record is from RNAcentral.
GUGCUUCCUGCGGGCUGAGCUCGGGCUUCGCGCUGCCCGUCAGCGCGCAGAUUAAGGCUGACAGCGCCCUGCCUGACGCGGCCCGCGCUCCUC